Leptopilina heterotoma is the source of this 3864-nucleotide RNA transcript. It is a transcript of the gene named MAM and LDL-receptor class A domain-containing protein 1-like, with no coding region annotated. The record is from RefSeq and is a predicted model, not a curated record. NCBI's taxonomy places the organism in Eukaryota, Metazoa, Arthropoda, Insecta, Hymenoptera, Figitidae. The transcript has 12 exons.
UUCAAAUUUUUACAUAUUUUUUCUCUUCAUCAUCAAGUGAAAAGUGUAUACAAUGUUGAGGAUUUUGUUUUUAUAAUAAUAAUAAUUAAAUAAGAAUUGUUCGCAAUAAAAUAUGCAGAUUUUGAAAUAGUAUAAAAAGAGUUUUUCGAAUUUUUGGAUUUCGAUAAUGCAAAACUCAGAAUGUAUUCGUCUUUUAUUCUUGUUUUUUGUUACGAAUGCCGGAGCCUUGACAUGGUAUCCAAAAUCUUCACAACCAAUGUUCGGAGAACAAAUAGAUUUGGUUGGAGCUGACAAUGUAUCGCUUUCAUCAAAUCAAACUGAAUCAGUACCUAUAUUAAUUGAUGGCUUAAUAGAUUCCCAGAAUCCAAAUGAUUCUGGUGUUCAAGCUAUUUCUCCAGAAGCUCGAAGUGACCCUGGAGAUCGUGACCGAGAACCAUUUGAUGAAGUGGAGAAUAUUGAACCCAGACAGUGGUCAGACAUUUUUCCAACGAGUGCAACAACAGCAAGAGGGCUGUUUCCUCCGAGAAGAGCCACCAGUCCGACGACUCUAGCUCAAAGGAAUCCUUCCUCUCAGGGAAAUCCUGAGAUUACUGCACCUCCGCCGACAGCGUCAGUUGAUGAAGUAUUUUGUGAUUUUGGUCCUCUCCCCGUGCAGUCGCUCUGUGAGUGGCAAGAUGGACAUGGAGCCUUGCGAUGGACUACAGGCACUGGCCUAAGUACCAAUUGGUUAGGUGGUCCACCUAUCGAUUCUACUGCAGGAACCAUGGAAGGAGGAUAUGCCUUUCUGGAAACAUCACAUGUUCCACCUAAGGAUACAAAGUCAAGAAGUCACGGUGGUCUUUUGCACAGUCCUCAGCUGGGAAGCACAGGAGUCUCUGGAACUUGCUUCAUGUUUAAGUAUGCAAUAAAUGGCUUAAGUUCUGCUGGUCUUAGAGUACUUUUACAUAUGGGAGUAGACGAAUAUUCAAUAAAAAAAGAAAGGGCUGAUGAAAUUCCAAUUGAAAAUGUUACGGCUACUGCAACAUCUACUUCAAGUAAACCUUUUGACAGUGGCAAUGAGAGAGUUCUCUGGCAUGCACAGUAUAAUAUUCUCGGAGUUUGGCAGCAGGCUCAUAUUCUUUACACUUAUCCGGAAUUACAUUCGAUCGUAAUUGAAGGUGUACCUGUAGAUUCUGCUGAUCCUUCUAGGCUUUAUCGUGGCUAUAUAGCGAUAGAUGAUAUCGACCUUCAAAUAGGCCCUACAUGUGCUGGCUUUUGUAACUUUGCAGGUGGUAUCUGUGAUUGGACCAAUGAUGCUGAAGAUGAUUUUGAUUGGACAAUUAGCAGAGGAAGCAAUGAUCCUACCACAGGACCAGCGAUGGACAGUUCCAGCGAUCGAGCAACAGCUGGUGGCUAUGCUUAUAUUGACUCUAGAUAUCCUCGAAGACCUGGAGACACAGCACGACUAAUGAGUAUCACUUUCCCCGGCACAGGGCCAGAAUCUCCAAUGUGUAUGCAUUUUUGGUUUCAUAUGUUCGGUUCAGGAAUUGGAAACCUAAAAAUUCAUCUUCGCCAUUUGCGGAGUUUGGAUGCAGAAGUGCAAGAGAUUUGGGCACUCAGUGGAAAUGCUGGUAAUGCGUGGUUUAAAUCAGAAGUCACCAUUAGUUCGCUGGAUGAUUAUCAACUCAUCUUUGAGGCUUCUGUGGGAAACACAGGAAUGGGAGACAUUGCGAUAGAUGAAAUCAGUUUAACUUCUGGCGUUUGUCCAACAAUGCCACAAGUUGCAGCUCCUCUUGCAAGAGACUGUACUUUCGAAAUUGAUGAAUGCGAGUGGGUAAACUCUAGAGAUCCAGACCGUGUCGAGUGGGAAAGAAUAUCAACUUCAACUCUGAGUUCUAGAAAUCAAAGAAAACCUUAUAGCAAUGGACAUACAGUUAGUCGUCGAAAUGAGUAUUUUUUGGGUUUGCAACGUUCCAGAGGAGGAGGAGGAGGAGGUAGAAAUACUGGUGGAGGAACUGCUCAAUUAAUGAGUCGAGAGUUUAAAGGCUCUGAUGAUCCUCUUUGCAUCACCUUCUGGUAUUUUAUGUUUGAAUCUUUCAUCGACUCAACUGGACCUAGUUUAGGCGUUCUUCGUGUUUUGGUUCAAACUCUCGGGGAGAGUUCCUCAGAUGCAAAUCCUGUAUGGCAGCUUUAUAAUAAUCAAGGACCAACUUGGAGUUUUGCCCAGACAAGUAUCAAUGAAAGAAAGGAUUUUAAUAUAAUUUUUGAAGGUACAUGGGGACCCAAUAGAGCAAGUGGAAGCAUUGCUAUUGACGAUGUCGCUUUUUACACUGGAAAUUGCACUGUAAGACCAAUGAGUGCAACUGUUAAGCCUGAGGAUUGCAGUUUUGAGAAAGGUUUAUGUGGUUGGGAAAAUAAAACGGCAGCUGUAAAUGAUCGAACUGUGACUUGGCAGAGAGCCUUCUUAACUCAUAGGCCAGCACAAUUAUUAGACAAAACUUUUGGUGCAACAGGAGAUUUUGUUUUCUUUGAUAUUUUUACUACAAAUCAAAAAUCUGCUACAGUUCAACUUUUAUCACCGGUGAUUAAUACAUCGCCUGAUGAAACAGCAUUAUGUUUUACAUUUUGGUUUGCCGCAUUUGGAGUUGAAGAAUCAACGUCUUUGAGAAUUAUUAAAGUUUCAAUUGAAGGAGAUAAGAUCAGUGACGAUGAAGAGAGUGAAGACAAGGAAUUGCUUUGGCACUUGACAGCGAAAGGAUUUAACAACAUCAGACCGUCUUGGGUAGCAGCCCAAUUUGCGAUAGAGGCGCGGGCUCCUUAUCGACUUAUUUUGGAAGGAACAGCUAGUAACGGAGGCUUUGCCAUUGACGACAUUAAAUUCCAACCAGAAUCUUGCAUGACACGACCAGCAAAAGCUCAACCAGUAGCUAUCGAAACCUAAAUAUGGAUAACUAAAUUUAAUUUAACUGAUUUAUUAAAUAACAAGUGAAAAGACUUUGUGUGAUAUUUAAGUUAGGGCAAUUAAAUAGUUUGUCUACAAAUUAAUCUACAAAUUUAUUAUUAAUAGAUAGUAAAUAUAUACAAUUAUACAGAAUAUGUAAAUUUAAAAAAUAAUUCAAAUUUAACAAUAACGCAAUUUUUUGGUAUAAGUUUUUAUACAUAUUUAGUAACAAUUAAUUUAAUAGAAACAUCGAAUUAAAAUUUUUUAGUAUAUAAUUGAACUAUGUUUUAUUCUCCUUUCAAAUAGAACAAUACUUUGCAGAGCAUUAUUAAGAUGUUAACUUAAGAAACUUACAAGAGUUGCAUAACUAAAGGGGCCAUAUGUAUGACCAUUAUUACAGUGUAAGAAUGCAUAAGGGGUUCUAUUCAAGAUUCCUUAUAAUUUCUUAUGUGGGUACUUAUACAUACACUCUAUACUUAUACAUACAUUGUAUAUAUAUUCCAUGUAAGUGUAUCUUCAGUUAAACUUAUGUGAAAGUUCAGAAAAUAUCCUACGCCUCUGGGCGUAGAAUUCUGCGGAGAGUACACAGAAAAAAUUUUGGGCGACCUACUAUUUCAAUUGGAUAGAAAUUUGACGACUGUCAUACUAUCUAAAGGUAGCACGCUCGCGAUUGAACUGUUCUAUAGAAUAUUCCAUGACAUUUAAAAUCUAAAUAGUUAAUAGUAAGAUCUACGCAUUUACAAAAUUUAAAAAAAAUUGACCGAAAUGCGGUUUGUCAACAAAAAUAUAAUACGUAGAUAAAAAAUUUCCCGAACGAUUGUGACACCCGAGAUUCGAACACUCGAUCAUAUAGUGCACUACAGGGCUCAACCGUUCUGGGAGGCACCUAGACGCGCUCGACCAAGGGAGACUAUUGAUGGUUUCUCAUAAAAUAUCCCUUGUAA